Non-coding RNA from Xylaria bambusicola, 91 nucleotides. The record is from the annotation of a RefSeq genome assembly. Lineage: Eukaryota; Fungi; Ascomycota; Sordariomycetes; Xylariales; Xylariaceae.
GGGCUUGUGGUUUAGUGGUAUAAUACUCCCUUAGCAUGAUUCUUAGGAAUUUGAUUGGGAGUGGUCCGGGGUUCGAUUCCCCGCGAGUCCA